Jatropha curcas is the source of this 624-nucleotide non-coding RNA. The record is from RefSeq and is a predicted model, not a curated record. Lineage: Eukaryota; Viridiplantae; Streptophyta; Magnoliopsida; Malpighiales; Euphorbiaceae.
UCAGAAAGGUGAGUGGCAAACUAUAUUUCUAAGUUUCUUGAUAGUUCCAAUUCUUCCAGAAAUGCUAUAAAAGAACCUCCACUUGCUCCUGAUGAUGAUGAUCUUCCUGAGUUUGACUUUGAAGCUGCACGUGGCAUUUCAUUGACUACGGCAAACAAGGCAUUAGCAGUAGUGCUGAUACUGCUGUCGCGCUACCAAAAAAUCUUUUCCAUCAUGAUGAUGACAUGCCUGAAUGGUGCCCUCCAUAUGCAAAGCUGCAAAGACAAGUGGUUUCUGAAACAGUUAGGCUAUCAAUCUGUGGAAGUUUCCCUCGUAGCUCGGCUAGCCGCCUUUUGCCUCCUAUAUCUCCAGGGAGAGGCGCCUAUUCGCCUUUCUUUACCAAUGUGUAUGGUAAUUGCCCCAUGGAUCAGAAUGCGAAACCUCCAGUCCGUCCUGAUAGUUGGAGCAGUUGGAUACCUUGAUAUUUUGGAAGGCAGAAAAUUGCUUGAAAAUGUGAACUAGCAUUGGAAAUUGUGACAUUAUGUUCAUUCCCCUUUAGAUAGAGAUACAUAUAUGUGCCUUAAUUAAUAGUUAUGUGAAUUUGUAUGUAUUUACAAGUUAAUCAAUCAGGUUUCCAUAACUAUA